Molecule: ribosomal RNA, 916 nt
Filed under: uncultured bacterium
Lineage: Bacteria
Description: bacterial SSU rRNA
Rfam family: Bacterial small subunit ribosomal RNA
Source: RNAcentral
AGAGUUUGAUCCUGGCUCAGAACGAACGCUGGCGGCGUGCCUAACACAUGCAAGUCGAGCGCGAAAGGAGCAAUCCGAGUAGAGCGGCGCACGGGUGCGUAACACGUGGGUAAUCUGCCCUCGAGUCUGGGAUAACCAUUCGAAAGUUUGGCUAAUACCAGAUAAGCUCACGGGAGCCUCGGCUCCUGGGAGAAAAGUAGGCCUCUAUUUAUAAGCUUACACUCAAGGAUGAGCCCGCGGCCCAUCAGCUCGUUGGCGGGGUAACGGCCCACCAAGGCAACGACGGGUAGCUGGUCUGAGAGGACGAUCAGCCACACUGGAACUGAGACACGGUCCAGACUCCUACGGGAGGCAGCAGUGGGGAAUUUUCCACAAUGGGCGAAAGCCUGAUGGAGCAACGCCGCGUGUGUGAUGAAGGUCUUCGGAUCGUAAAGCACUUUCGACCGGGACGAAAAACCUCUGGCUAACAUCCAGGGGCCUGACGGUACUGGGAGAAGAAGCACCGGCUAACUCUGUGCCAGCAGCCGCGGUAAUACAGAGGGUGCAAGCGUUGUUCGGAAUUAUUGGGCGUAAAGCGCGUGUAGGCGGCUUUGCAAGUCAGAUGUGAAAGCCCUCGGCUCAACCGAGGAAGUGCGUCUGAAACUGCAGAGCUUGAGUACCGGAGAGGGUGGCGGAACUCUGCAAGUAGAGGUGAAAUUCGUAGAUAUGCGGAAGAACACCGGUGGCGAAGGCGGCCACCUGGACGGUCACUGACGCUGAGACGCGAAAGCGUGGGGAGCAAACAGGAUUAGAUACCCUGGUAGUCCACGCUGUAAACGAUGAGAACUAGGUGUCGUGGGUGUUGACCCCCGCGGUGCCGCAGCUAACGCAUUAAGUUCUCCGCCUGGGAAGUACGGCCGCAAGGUUAAAACUCAAA